CCUACGGGGGGCAGCAGUGAGGAAUAUUGGUCAAUGGACGCAAGUCUGAACCAGCCAUGCCGCGUGCAGGAAGACGGCUCUAUGAGUUGUAAACUGCUUUUGUACGAGGGUAAACGCAGAUACGCGUAUCUGUCUGAAAGUAUCGUACGAAUAAGGAUCGGCUAACUCCGUGCCAGCAGCCGCGGUAAUACGGAGGAUUCAAGCGUUAUCCGGAUUUAUUGGGUUUAACGGGUGCGUAGGCGGUCGGAUAAGUUAGAGGUGAAAUCCCGAGGCUCAACUUCGGAAUUGCCUCGGAUACUGUUCGGCGAGAGAGUAGUUGCGGUAGGCGGAAUGUAUGGUGUAGCGGUGAAAUGCUUAGAGAUCAUACAGAACACCGAUUGCGAAGGCAGCUUACCAAGCUACUUCUGACGUUGAGGCACGAAAGCGUGGGGAGCAAACAGGAUUAGAUACCCGAGUAGUC
This 460-nucleotide ribosomal RNA is filed under the name uncultured bacterium. RNAcentral's name for it is "partial 16S ribosomal RNA". It matches the Rfam family "Bacterial small subunit ribosomal RNA", at positions 338 to 795 of the family's 1533-position model. The record is from RNAcentral.